RNAcentral lists this ribosomal RNA (492 nucleotides) under uncultured bacterium. Its description in RNAcentral is "partial 16S ribosomal RNA". It matches the Rfam family "Bacterial small subunit ribosomal RNA", at positions 29 to 507 of the family's 1533-position model. The record is from RNAcentral.
AGUGAACGCUGGCGGUAGGCCUAACACAUGCAAGUCGAACGGCAGCACAGUAAGAGCUUGCUCUUACGGGUGGCGAGUGGCGGACGGGUGAGGAAUACAUCGGAAUCUACUUUUUCGUGGGGGAUAACGUAGGGAAACUUACGCUACUACCUCAUACGACCUACGGGUGAAAGCAGGGGAUCUUCGGACCUUGCGCGAUUGAAUGAGCCGAUGUCGGAUUAGCUAGUUGGCGGGGUAAAGGCCCACCAAGGCGACGAUCCGUAGCUGGUCUGAGAGGAUGAUCAGCCACACUGGAACUGAGACACGGUCCAGACUCCUACGGGAGGCAGCAGUGGGGAAUAUUGGACAAUGGGCGAAAGCCUGAUCCAGCCAUACCGCGUGGGUGAAGAAGGCCUUCGGGUUGUAAAGCCCUUUUGUUGGGAAAGAAAAGCAGCAGGUUAAUACCCCGAUGUUCUGACGGUACCCAAAGAAUAAGCACCGGCUAACUUCGUG